AUUGAACGCUGGCGGCAGGCCUAACACAUGCAAGUCGAGCGGAUGAAGGGAGCUUGCUCCUGGAUUCAGCGGCGGACGGGUGAGUAAUGCCUAGGAAUCUGCCUGGUAGUGGGGGAUAACGUCCGGAAACGGGCGCUAAUACCGCAUACGUCCUGGGGGGGAAAGUGGGGGAUUUUCGGACCCACCGCUAUCAGAUGAGCCUAGGUCGGAUUAGCUAGUUGGUGGGGUAAAGGCCUACCAAGGCGACGAUCCGUAACUGGUCUGAGAGGAUGAUCAGUCACACUGGAACUGAGACACGGUCCAGACUCCUACGGGAGGCAGCAGUGGGGAAUAUUGGACAAUGGGCGAAAGCCUGAUCCAGCCAUGCCGCGUGUGUGAAGAAGGUCUUCGGAUUGUAAAGCACUUUAAGUUGGGAGGAAGGGCAGUAAGUUAAUACCUUGCUGUUUUGACGUUACCAACAGAAUAAGCACCGGCUAACUUCGUG
RNAcentral lists this ribosomal RNA (484 nucleotides) under uncultured bacterium. RNAcentral describes it as "partial 16S ribosomal RNA". It matches the Rfam family "Bacterial small subunit ribosomal RNA", at positions 30 to 507 of the family's 1533-position model. The record is from RNAcentral.